GCCUUGGUAGCUCAGCCUGGUAGAGCACCUGAUUCGUAAUCAGUAGGUCGCGGGUUCAGAUCCCGUUCAAGGCUC
This 75-nucleotide transfer RNA is filed under the name Candidatus Nitrosomarinus catalinensis. Its description in RNAcentral is "Candidatus Nitrosomarinus catalina tRNA-Thr". It matches the Rfam family "tRNA". Rfam says of the family: Transfer RNA (tRNA) molecules are approximately 80 nucleotides in length. Their secondary structure includes four short double-helical elements and three loops (D, anti-codon, and T loops). Lineage: Archaea; Thermoproteati; Nitrososphaerota; Nitrososphaeria; Nitrosopumilales; Nitrosopumilaceae. The record is from RNAcentral.